RNAcentral lists this long non-coding RNA (434 nucleotides) under Equus asinus (donkey). RNAcentral's name for it is "lncRNA (ENSEASG00005027613.1)". The record is from RNAcentral. Lineage: Eukaryota; Metazoa; Chordata; Mammalia; Perissodactyla; Equidae.
CCGCAAUGGAAGCUCAGAGUCUGGUAUCCACAACGGACAGUCUAGUUUCACAGUGUCCACUAUAACUGAGUCUUUUAGACUGGUGCUUAGCGUAAAUAAGGUGCCGAUACGUGACAGAUCACCCUGGAAUGUGCAGUCAACUCAGCUCCACGGCCACGAGUGUGUCUACGAAUUUUAUCAGAGAGAAUACGACUAACAGGGCUCUGCUACAAAUCACAGGAAUCACAUCUGGGGUUUCUACACCGUGCUCUCUAACGCCAAAUGAGUUAGAUGAGGAUGGGAUAUUUUAAAGAAAAAUUCCAGUUACUUCCAAAAGAAGAAAUAUAAAGGUCGAAAAUAUAUGACCUUGUAAACGAAGGAGAAUAAAAUCUAUGAAUAUCUGAAAUCCUCAAACUUUUAAAUGCUAUUAAUAAAGACAUCAAAAUUCUGUUUAA